CCCCUGGUGGCUCAGAGGAUAAAGCGUCUGCCUGCAGUGCAGAAGACCCGGGUUCAAUCCCUGGGUUGGGAA
This 72-nucleotide transfer RNA is filed under the name Bos taurus (domestic cattle). It matches the Rfam family "tRNA". From Rfam's summary of the family: Transfer RNA (tRNA) molecules are approximately 80 nucleotides in length. Their secondary structure includes four short double-helical elements and three loops (D, anti-codon, and T loops). Further hydrogen bonds mediate the characteristic L-shaped molecular structure. tRNAs have two regions of fundamental functional importance: the anti-codon, which is responsible for specific mRNA codon recognition, and the 3' end, to which the tRNAs corresponding amino acid is attached (by aminoacyl-tRNA synthetases). tRNAs cope with the degeneracy of the genetic code in two manners: having more than one tRNA (with a specific anti-codon) for a particular amino acid; and 'wobble' base-pairing, i.e. permitting non-standard base-pairing at the 3rd anti-codon position. RNAcentral also lists the same sequence under 2 other names. Lineage: Eukaryota; Metazoa; Chordata; Mammalia; Artiodactyla; Bovidae. The record is from Rfam by way of RNAcentral.